Molecule: non-coding RNA, 613 nt
Organism: Macaca mulatta (Rhesus monkey)
Lineage: Eukaryota; Metazoa; Chordata; Mammalia; Primates; Cercopithecidae
Source: RefSeq, a predicted model, not a curated record
CGCGCGCAGAACGCCUGCGUCUGAGGAUGCGCAUGCGUACACCGCCGUCCAACGCUCCUGCCACCUCCGCUCCUCUUGUCCAACUCCUUUAGGAGCCCAACCUGUGCCUGCUCCACUAUCCCAUGCUGGCCUAGGAGGCUCCAGAGAGCGGGCUGCUUCCUCAGCAGUCAGCAUGAUGCAACCAAAAUGUCCCCUUGGAUGUGCACAGUCCUUUCUUUCACAAGGAAACUUCCAAAUAUUGAAUUAUGACAUGCUGUGGGGGAAGCUAGCCGCCAUGUUGUGAAGGCACGCAAGCAGUCCUACAGAGGUCCACAUGGUGAGGAACUGAGGCCUCCUGCAGCCAGCCAGCACUGUCUUGCCAGCCAUGAGAAGUAGCUACUUUGCAAAUGGAUCUUCCAGUCCAUCAGUCCAUCAGGCAUUCAAAUGACUGUAGCCUGACUGACAACUGACUGCAACCUCCUGAGACCUUGAAUCAGAACUACCCAGCUCCCGAAUUCCUGACCCAUAGCAUCUGUGGGGUAUAAGAAAUGUUUCGGAAUAAUUAAUUACAUUUCAAUAGACAAUUGACACACAUCUAAAAGUAUCUUUUUUUUGCAUAAAAUUGUUAAAGUCC